Punica granatum (pomegranate) is the source of this 1421-nucleotide non-coding RNA. The record is from RefSeq and is a predicted model, not a curated record. NCBI's taxonomy places the organism in Eukaryota, Viridiplantae, Streptophyta, Magnoliopsida, Myrtales, Lythraceae.
UGGAGAUUCACUCUUUGUUGGGGCAAUAAUUAUCAGAGUUUAAAUUCACUCUUCUCCUGCUCUGCUUGGGCUCCCUCCAUGACCGCUUCUCGACGAAGCUCAACUCUCUGUCCACUCCACGCCCAGAUAGUAAGCCGACAGCAGCCCUGCCUGAGCUCCAAAGCCUUCUUCCCUGACUUCAGAGGACCGCCACACCGGCAGGUACUCAGCUUCCGACACAAUAACAGACAAAAGCAGUAAUUUGAUUAUGCUUGUGUAGCUUUUGCUUUCCUCCGGCCAUGUUCACUUCUUGCAAGAUGACCCUCCCUGUAUGGUCCAAAUCACUGCAAAAUGAGCAAAAGGGUUUGUUUCAUUUCAUUUGAGCCUGUUACCAUGGAGGAGGAUAUGGAUUGGCUUAGUGGGCAUGUGAAUAAUGUCAUUGUUCGACCAGAUGUGGACAAUGGUAAUGGUUCUGAUAUGGAUGAAGAGGUUGGGGAAGAAGGCGAAGUAUGUUAAAAGUUAAUUUUUAAUUUUCAUUAAAGUAAAUUCUGGAGAGUUUGAGGAGCCUUCUAUCCUCGGAGUCGGGACAGUCUUAAUGAGUCUUUGGAAUUGUGUUAGUGUCUUUAAUUAAGGGUCUAGAAAUGUCUUAAAAGAGCUGUAUAAAUAGAUGAGUCUGGUGUGUUUGGAAUGUAAGAAGCAGCCCCCCCUUCAAUGAAUCGUUCUUCUUGAGCCCAAAACUCCUUAUUCCUCUCUGUAUUUCUCUGUUUAUCCCCAAUAAAGUAAUGGAGGAUUCCGCCAUGGACUAUAAUAUGAAAUCAGAUGAUCCGAGAGGCACUGAAUACUUGGACAAAGAGUCAGAUGUCACUAAGAAUGUCUGGACGAAUGGUAAUACAAGUGCUGGUAGUGCCCCCAUGAGAGGAUUGGAACAAAGCAUUGCUUUUACUGCUGCCGAGGCUGCUACCAACAUGUCUCAAGUAAGCAGUUUAAAUGAAAUCAAUCAGAAUAAAAGGAUUAAUGUGGAAAAAGGGGAAACUAUCUUCAUCAAGAUAAAUACGAGUGCAACUGUGGAUAGUGGAUCGGCAUUAAGGAGGUUAAAUGGUCAGGCAAUGUCAAAUUCUGAAAUGAAUUCGUUGUUGGUACAUGGUUCUGUUUCAUCAGAUCCCACGUAGAGGCGAAAGAAGUGGUCUUCAGCUCGUGAUCAAGAACUGCUAUCUGCAAAACUGGAGAUUGAGAAAGCUCCUCCUAUAGGCAAAGAUGCCCGAGGACUUCAGAAUUUUGUCUAUCGAAAUAUUUCCCUAUUUGUGAGGAGCUACGAGUUAAUGGAGCGAAUCCUUGAAAUCUAUGUCUACAGAGAAGGAGAAACACCCAUAUUUCACCAACCAAAGAUAAGGGGAAUAUAUGCCUCCGAAGGAUGGUUCAUGAAGUCAAUGGAAGGAAACAAG